AUAAAAAUAGGUUGUCCUGCACGGGAGCCGCAGGGCCGUAGUCAGCCAUGGCGCCCAGCCGGAAUGGCAUGAUCUUUAAGCCCCACUUUCACAAGGACUGGCAGCGGCGCGUGGCCACGUGGUUCAACCAGCUGGCCCGGAAGAUCCGUAGACUCAAGACCCGGCAAGCCAAGGCGCACCGCAUCGCCCCGCACCCCGCGUCGGGGGGCGCAUCCGGCCCAUCGUGCGCUGCCCCACGGUUCGGUACCACACAAAGGUGCGCGCCGGCCGCGGCUUCAGCCUGGAGGAGCUCAGAGUGGCCGGCAUUCACAAGAAGGUGGCCAGGACCAUCGGCAUUUCUGUGGAUCCGAGGAGGCGGAAUAAGUCCACCGAGUCCCUGCAGGCCAACGUGCAGCGGCUGAAGGAGUACCGCUCCAAACUCAUCCUGUUCCCGAGGAAGCCCUCGGCCCCGCGGAAGGGCGACAGUUCUGCUGAGGAACUGAAGCUCGCCAUCCAGCUGACAGGACCGGUCAUGCCCAUCCUCAAUGUCUAUAAGAAGGAGAAAGCACGAGUCAUCACUGAGGAGGAGAAUUUCACAGCCUUCGCUAGUCUCCGCAUGGCCCGUGCCAAUGCCCGGCUCUUCGGCAUAUGAGCGAAAAGAGCCAGGGAAGCUGCAGAACAGGACGUGGAGAAGAAAAAGUGAAGCCCUCGGGGACUUGUAAUAAAUCCGCAGUCAUG
This is a non-coding RNA of Saimiri boliviensis boliviensis (Bolivian squirrel monkey), 717 nucleotides long. The record is from RefSeq and is a predicted model, not a curated record. Lineage: Eukaryota; Metazoa; Chordata; Mammalia; Primates; Cebidae.